GGGCAGUGGUGGCCGAACGGUUAAGGCUCUGGGUUACUGCCCAGGAGGUUGGGGGUUCAAGCCCCAGGACUGUCCA
Molecule: transfer RNA, 76 nt
Filed under: Pangasianodon gigas (Mekong giant catfish)
Lineage: Eukaryota; Metazoa; Chordata; Actinopteri; Siluriformes; Pangasiidae
Description: tRNA-Ser
Source: RNAcentral